ACAUUUACCCACAGAUACAGUCCUGAUAAAAAGUUUUAGACCACUUGAAAAAUUGCAAGAAAUCAUAUUUAGCAUGGCUGGAUCUUAACAAGGUUCCAAGUAGAGCUUCAACAUGCAACAAGAAGAAAUGGGAGUGAGACAAA
Long non-coding RNA from Bufo bufo (common toad), 143 nucleotides. RefSeq lists it as uncharacterized. NCBI's taxonomy places the organism in Eukaryota, Metazoa, Chordata, Amphibia, Anura, Bufonidae. The transcript is spliced from 3 exons. The record is from RefSeq and is a predicted model, not a curated record.